This 1344-nucleotide ribosomal RNA is filed under the name Triticum aestivum (bread wheat). Its description in RNAcentral is "partial small subunit ribosomal RNA". The record is from RNAcentral. Lineage: Eukaryota; Viridiplantae; Streptophyta; Magnoliopsida; Poales; Poaceae.
AUGGAUGCAUCCUUUCUGGGCCAAAAUGGGGGAGUGAGACGGAGGAACCAGGCCCAGUUUCUCUCGGAGAAGAAAAAAGAUGUGCCGCGUUCGUUCGCUACGUCGGUAAGUCCAAAACGAAUCCGAUCGGUGCAUCAACACGACUACCUAUAUCAUCGAGCCUCUCGUCAGGUCGUCUCAAUCGUGUGCCGCCCGGUCUCUUCUCUCCGACCAAACCCUAUGGAGCCGCCGCGCCGCACCAAGCGCCCCGCCGGGGACGGCGACGACGACGUGGAGGCCGCCGCCGAAGCACGAGGCUACUACGGCGCCGCGGCCUACGACUUCCUCGACGAUGACGAGCUGGAUGGCUUCUCCUCGCACGGCACAGGCGGCGACAUGGGGUUUAUGGACGAGAACGGCAGCUUCGUGGAGCGCGUGGUGCGGGGCGGCACCAAGGAGGUGGCCUGGCUGGGCGCCGCCCACGUCGACGGCGAGUGCCCCGGCCCCGCGGCCACGAAGCGCGCGAGGAAGGCCCUCGAGAGGCAGGAAGAGGACGAGCGGAUCCUCGAGGGUGUCGUUGGCUCCCGCGCCGUCUUCGACAUCAAGAAGCGGAUUGCGGGCCUCCUCCAGCCCGGUGAGACGGUCCCGCGCGCGCUGCGGAGGCUCAAGGGAGAUAAACGUGGUGGGGGGGAGGGGAUGGACGAGCGGGCUCGGCGCGCGUUCGACGAGCUGAUGGACGCCUCCGCGGAGCUCGUGCGGCGCGGCGACCUCGACGCGUACACGGACGACCGCGAGGCCUUCGAGCGCGCCGCCUGGGACUACGAGCACGCGCGUCGCCGUCGCCGGCUGGCGUGCGCCGCUCCACUAGCCGCCGCCGUUCCGGGGGCUCGACAGGAUGACGACGAAGCUGGCCCACAGACUGCCGCCGCGGCCCGUGACUACUACGUGGACAUGUUCGGUGACGACGCAGUCGAUGUCCGUGCCGGCGCGAAAACGGCGGUCGAUCCAUGCGGUGGACAUGCAGCUAACCCGGAUCAGCCAACAGCGCAGCCUGAUGGUUCCGGUGCGACGACGGAGGAGGAAGCCGGCGGCGUGGCGGGCUGGGACUACGUGUACGAUCCGGCGUCGGGAUACUACUACAGCGGCAGCACGGGGCACUACUACGACGCCGCGUCCGGGUGCUACUGGUCCGCGUCCACGGGCACAUGGUUCUCCUACGACGUCCACGGCGAGGAGGCGAGCACUACUCCGGCGCGCACGUCGGAAUAUUGGAUGUGGUCUUCGUCAGAUCGGCUUUCCAAGUUCAAGUUCAAAGUGACCUUCCUAAGAUCAGGUUUCGGUAGCGCGGAGUUCUUGCACAUGUGA